This is a microRNA precursor of Neolamprologus brichardi, 59 nucleotides long. The record is from Ensembl. NCBI's taxonomy places the organism in Eukaryota, Metazoa, Chordata, Actinopteri, Cichliformes, Cichlidae.
UUCCUUCCUCUCUCAGUCUCUGCCAGUCAUCCUCAGAAGCUGAGAAGGAGGUGGGCACC